This 149-nucleotide non-coding RNA is filed under the name Pan troglodytes (chimpanzee). The record is from Rfam by way of RNAcentral. Lineage: Eukaryota; Metazoa; Chordata; Mammalia; Primates; Hominidae.
GCCAGGCGUGGUGGCGCAUGCCUGUAAUCCCAGCCACUAGGGAGGCUGAGGCAGGAGAAUUGCUUGAGCCCAGGAGGCGGAGGUUGCAGUGAGCAGAGAUCAUGCCACUGCACUCCAGCCUGGGCGACAGAGCAAAGACUCUGUCUCAA